UAAUUUUCACCAUAACUUUUUGUUAUGUUUUUUUAGAGGCUUUUGGUUAGCCAAUACGCGAGGAAGAAUCGAGAUCAAGAUCACCACAUGCAAUAAAGCAAAAGGCAGCUAAUUAAGCCGGUGAUCCUUUUUGAUCAGCCACUGAUGAAAUAAAGCUCAUAUGUUAGGGCAUCAAUUAGCUCUUGCAUGCACCUUUGUAAAAAGCAAGGGAGAGAAUAAUAAAGGGAUCAUAAAGCUGGAAAAAAGAGCGAUCGAUGUGUUCAAUUGGUGGUUAAGGAAUAUUGCACCUUAUAAGGCUUUAUUGGUUUUUCACAAGCCAUAAUUAAGAUUAUAACAUCGCGUUUUACUAAGGAAAUUUUUCUGAAGAAAACGGAGAAGAGAGAACGUCUCGCUGUUGCCUUUACCAUCUGUCUAGCUAGCUCGGAGAAGCGGAUCGAGAUGCCUGCAAUUAGUAAUGAUCAGGUACUGAUCAAUAAGCAGCAGUCAAGCAGUACUACUAUUACUAGUACCACUCAUGCAGCCAGCCGGCCAAGUACUGAUUCUUCUUCGCAAGAUAUUAAGCGGCCAUCUCCAGCAGAGGCACCAGCCGCCGGAAGGAAGCGAGCACUUCUUUGUGGGGUUACUUGCCGUGGCGCGGGGGAGAAUAUAAGUCGCCUCGAAGGACCUGUCAAUGAUGUGAA
This is a long non-coding RNA of Juglans microcarpa x Juglans regia, 680 nucleotides long. RefSeq lists it as uncharacterized. The transcript is spliced from 2 exons. NCBI's taxonomy places the organism in Eukaryota, Viridiplantae, Streptophyta, Magnoliopsida, Fagales, Juglandaceae. The record is from RefSeq and is a predicted model, not a curated record.